AUCACCAAAAGAGUAGGAAAAAAGAAGAAAAGUAGAAGAUGACUAAUGAAACCAAGAAUGUGUUGCCAGAGAUAAAAGUUGCGGUAUCUCUGUUUGAAAUGACAUACCGAAUUGUUCAACCCCAGAUCACCGGAGAAUCGAUCAUCGAGAAAGUGACAUCAUGCAUGUCAUUCUAAGACUGCUGUCUUUUAACUUGUGUCACAUCAGUCUCAUAAUGUCCACUGUCAAACAAGCUUUUACAGUCUCUCUCUAUGGCUUUAGUAUCUCUGCUUCUCCAAAUGGUCCUUCUCUGACUCCUUUGAGUAAGCACGUUUAAACUUACUCUAUUGCCCAUUAUUUUUCAGUACCUUGUUGAGUAUAUGGUAUUUUUAUAAUUCAAGACAUUGAAUUAGAAAUGGAACAAAAUGAGAACACUUGAACCAACUUUUGGUUUAGGACAGCGUGUUAAGUGAUAUGACUAUAAUGCCUCACAAAAAAAAAAAAAAAAAAAAAAAACGUUGCAGCUUAAUUAUAAUGGUUGUGAGGUGUUGAUGACAUUGAGGCAAUGGUGAAAAUGUGAUUUGAAUGAACAAAGCAAAAGUGGUUGAGUAAUUUGAAUUUGUGCUGAUUAGGUCCUUAGUAGGAGUCUAAGCAAUUUAUUCCUUGCUUCAACUGCCAAUCAACAUGUUGAAGGUACUUCGUAAAUCUCUUGUGAUUCCUUCGAGGAAUCGCUCAUGGCUUGUUUUUGCUGUGGAUUAGGUAAUUGAUGAAUUGGCCAAAUAUAUAUUCGUGUGACAAAGUAUAAUUAUAUCUACUUGGUCAUUAAUUGAUAUUCUUACUUUUGUUGCGGGUUAGACGGAUAAAUAAAGUUACGUGCUUUUCAAUAAGAACAUCCUUUGAGAUCCUAACAAGGGGAGUACGCCACAUUAAUGUGCAUCGGAUGCUCAAGUCAACAUUGAUGAGCACAUUAAAUUAUCCAUAUGGCUGAGAUCCAUCAAAGUUGAGACACGAUGAAUUAACAAUUCAUAGAUGAACAAAAUGGAGAAAAGGCAUGUAAACACAGUAUUAAAAAGAGCCAUGUUUGUUAUGAAAUAUAUGAAAUAUGUUGUUAUUACAAUAAUUGACGCAUGUGAAGUGGAGACUAGGAUUCCUUUUUUAUUGAUUUAGACACGAGUAUUGUAAGAUGGAUAAUGUUACGAUGCAGAUAAUACAGAUUCAGCAACUUCCAUAGCUACCACAUCUUUAGCCAAGACAGUAGCCAAGUUCGCUGCUCCUGUAACAGCCCAGUAGCGUUUAUAUCUUUUCGAACUAUUGUAAAAUUCAGUUGCAAUGCUGUUGCUC
Molecule: long non-coding RNA, 1320 nt
Filed under: Olea europaea subsp. europaea
Lineage: Eukaryota; Viridiplantae; Streptophyta; Magnoliopsida; Lamiales; Oleaceae
Source: RNAcentral